UAGGGAAUCUUCGGCAAUGGACGAAAGUCUGACCGAGCAACGCCGCGCGAGUGAAGAAGGUUCUCGGAUCGUAAAACUCUGUUGUUAGAGAAGAACAAGGACGUUAGUAACUGAACGUCCCCUGACGGUAUCUAACCAGAAAGCCACGGCUAACUACGUGCCAGCAGCCGCGGUAAUACGUAGGUGGCAAGCGUUGUCCGGAUUUAUUGGGCGUAAAGCGAGCGCAGGCGGUUUCUUAAGUCUGAUGUGAAAGCCCCCGGCUCAACCGGGGAGGGUCAUUGGAAACUGGGAGACUUGAGUGCAGAAGAGGAGAGUGGAAUUCCAUGUGUAGCGGUGAAAUGCGUAGAUAUAUGGAGGAACACCAGUGGCGAAGGCGGCUCUCUGGUCUGUAACUGACGCUGAGGCUCGAAAGCGUGGGGAGCAAACAGG
This 429-nucleotide ribosomal RNA is filed under the name Gemmatimonadota bacterium. RNAcentral's name for it is "Gemmatimonadetes bacterium partial 16S ribosomal RNA". It matches the Rfam family "Bacterial small subunit ribosomal RNA", at positions 355 to 776 of the family's 1533-position model. Lineage: Bacteria; Pseudomonadati; Gemmatimonadota. The record is from RNAcentral.